UACGUAGGGUGCAAGCGUUGUCCGGAAUUAUUGGGCGUAAAGAGCGUGUAGGCGGCCCGAUUAGUCCGCUGUGAAAGUCCAGGGCUCAACCCUGGAAUGCCGGUGGAUACUGUCGGGCUAGAGUCCGGAAGGGGCGAGUGGAAUUCCUGGUGUAGCGGUGGAAUGCGCAGAUAUCAGGAGGAACACCGGUGGCGAAGGCGGG
This 202-nucleotide ribosomal RNA is filed under the name uncultured prokaryote. RNAcentral describes it as "partial 16S ribosomal RNA". It matches the Rfam family "Bacterial small subunit ribosomal RNA", at positions 524 to 725 of the family's 1533-position model. The record is from RNAcentral.